Long non-coding RNA from Dermochelys coriacea (leatherback sea turtle), 2620 nucleotides. RefSeq lists it as uncharacterized. The transcript has 2 exons. The record is from RefSeq and is a predicted model, not a curated record. Lineage: Eukaryota; Metazoa; Chordata; Testudines; Dermochelyidae.
AACGGCCACCACCAGGAAAAUGAAGGGUUCCUCAUGGCUUCUUUCAACCAUCCCAUCAAUGCAGCUGCCCAUGACUGGCUUCAAGACCCUCCUCCAGUAGAUACAGACAGCUAAAAAGUGAUCAUCUUCUCAAUAACAACUUUCUCAACAAUGGAGAAGAAAGCAAGUAGAUUCUGCUUUGGUAGAACCAUUGCAUCUUGACUUCAUAGAGACCCUGUUGUCAUCGAGCAACGUGUUACUUGAUUUCAGAUUUGAUGUUUUCAUCUCUCUACAAGGCACCACUGACUGUAAAUAGCAUAAUCCUUGUCAUAGUGCCUUGACAGAUGACACUGGAUGCUGUCAGGUGUGGCUAUGUUUUGGCCCUCUUUUCUAUUUGCCCUCACUUGAUUGGUAUUUAUCAUUUUGGUUGUACGAUCUCAUCCUUUUGAAUGCUUUGUAAUACAUAUGAAUGUAAGAUUUGUUAAUAGAGACAGCUUUGAAUAGAAGGUGGAAGCCAGUGAUUAUAUAUUAUAUAGCAAUUCUACUUUGUUACUAGUAAAUAUGGUUAUUUUGGGUAUUGCAUUGUCUUCUGAAUUUUCAUUUUCAAUGAAGGAUUCAAAUAGAUUAAGUACCAACUAUAGUAUAACUACAUACUGUUGUACGUAACAGAAAUUUACCAAUGCUCAGUACUUACAAUAGAUUUUUUUUCAAUUUUGUAUUCUCUUUUACUAUGACAAUAGGAAAUAUUUAUAUAAAUCUUGACUGACUAUUCAACCUACCAGUAUCCUGAAUUGUGAAUAUUACAUCUGGUGAUUAUGAACUUGCCAGCUAACCAGUUUAGUAUUGACAUAGGGGUCAAUAAAAACUAUAUAAUAUAGUAUUUUGGAGCUUAAAGCCAUUUAUGGUUCAUGUGGUCUACUGGAUGAUAUGAUCAAUUUUAAAUUCCUAAGAACAAAGCUAGAUUGUUUACCGAAAAGCUAAUAGUUUUGUACAAGGGAGUAACUGGAGCUCUGUUUUAGACUUAUCAAUUUGCCAGCAAUAUUUGAAUUUUUUGAGGUCUGAUAUUUAAGUAGUAACAUGUUGAAAGGAUUAAGAAAUAUCAUAAACUACCCAUGACUGGAGCAUAAUUAGUAAUUGUCACAGUAGAAAUGCCUUUAUGCUCAAGAAAUGUAUUACUUGAUAAUCACACCCAGUGGUUUUGCCUUGAUGUUGUUGUAGAACUCCUUUGUCAGAAAACAAACACAUUAUUUUGUGCUAAAGUAAACUGAGAUUGGUAGUUUACAAUAGCAACUCAGCCCUUUAGAAUGCUCACUGAGCAGAAUGCUCCUUAGAUGUAGAUACAUUUUAAUUCAUUGCCCUUAAGAUUCUAGUUUGCAGGACACAUGCCUGCCAUUGUGCUCCUUUCCACAGCAAAAAAAAAAAAAAAAAAAAAAAAUGGCAGUCAAAACAAGUGAGUCACUUCUCAGGUGAGUCCUACGGCUUCCUUUUCAUAUUUUUUUCUAAGAAUUAAUUUCAAAGAUGUUUUAAAAAUGACCCUUCUCUAGUUGUUGAAGAACAUGCAUUGCUACUUUAUUGUACAUCUUGAUACUCUAAAAAGAUAUCUCUAGUCUUCCAUGUCAUAUUGUUAUUAAACCAAUGAGAAUUAGAACAACCACCCUCUAGUCACACUUGGAAAAACUUCUAGGGGGUGGUUUAUGUUUUAAAUGUGCUUGCAGGAUUAUUACACCAUGUUUAGGUUAAGUGAACAUUGUCGGCAAAAUUGCUAUAGAAGAUGUUAUAGUACAAGUUGGAUCACAAGGCAGGCAAGCAUUACGUGUUGGAUACUUUAAAAAGAGGAAUGCUUUAGUGAAUACUUUGAAGAGGGGAAACAUCUUUUUCCUGAUUACUCAUUCCUUGUUUUUAGAAUAUGCAGUCCCUUGGGUAUGCAGUAAAAUGUGAGUCAAUAGUAAGGAGUAGGAAGAGGACUUUUAUGAAUAUCUAACCCAUGAAAAGUUGAUUAUGGUCUCCGUGGUUUUUUUCCUCCUAUAAGUAAGUUUGGCAAAAAAAAAAAUGCAAGAGAUGUUUAUCUCUUUAGUGAAACACACACUUGUUUUUAACGAAUCAGUUUGUAUGAGUAAUAUCCAUUUGAGUCUUUCUGAAUAAACCAGAAAGAAUGUCUGACAACAAUGGAAAUUUAUUAUUAAACUGUGUUUCAGUUUCUGCGGACAGUUUUUACAGGGAGUAAUUUUUUAAAAAUCUUAACAAUUGUUUUUAAAUUCAAGAAUAUACAUUUUUAUUCUGAAGUGAAGUUACUGCAAAAUUACAGUUAGGUUAUAAAAAUCACAUUUUUGGAAACUAUUACAAACAUUAGACUGAACAUUCAUUGCAAAAUAUGCAUUUAUUCAUCCUCUUAAUUAUUCCCCACUCCUUUCCAUUCCCCAUCCUAAGAGACAGCGGAAGGAAAGCAGAGAGAUUAUGAGCAUGACGCAAAGGGAUCACACAGCGUUUCUGAUUUGAUUAGAUAUUUUGGGUUCCAGCAGUACUCUCCAUUUUAAGUACAUUCAGUAUCUCUCAAACUGGCAGAAUCUUUCAAAAUGGAAGAAACUUGUUAAGUGAAACCAUUGUACUAUUUUUAGUUAAAAAAUAAAGAUAGUAGUAUGUC